This 255-nucleotide ribosomal RNA is filed under the name uncultured bacterium. RNAcentral describes it as "partial 16S ribosomal RNA". It matches the Rfam family "Bacterial small subunit ribosomal RNA", at positions 524 to 776 of the family's 1533-position model. The record is from RNAcentral.
UACGUAGGGUGCGAGCGUUGUCCGGAAUUAUUGGGCGUAAAGAGCUUGUAGGUGGUUUGUCGCGUCUGCUGUGAAAAUCCGAGGCUCAACCUCGGACUUGCAGUGGGUACGGGCAGACUAGAGUGCGGUAGGGGAGAUUGGAAUUCCUGGUGUAGCGGUGGAAUGCGCAGAUAUCAGGAGGAACACCGAUGGCGAAGGCAGAUCUCUGGGCCGUAACUGACGCUGAGGAGCGAAAAGCAUGGGGGAGCGAACAGG